RNAcentral lists this long non-coding RNA (729 nucleotides) under Androctonus crassicauda. Lineage: Eukaryota; Metazoa; Arthropoda; Arachnida; Scorpiones; Buthidae. The record is from RNAcentral.
AAACGAACCGACUAAAACAUAUUUAAAUCGGGUCUAAAUUUAAUUAAAAAAUGUUUAAACUUAUUUAAAAAUGUCUACCUCAUUUUUAUAGAAUUAAAACUUUUUUUUUCCCCCAUCGUAGCUUUCGGAAAUGACGUCAACACAUAUCAGAUAUCCAAAAAAAAUUGCAUUGUGUGUGUUAGCUUUUGCAGGUGAUGCGACUGUUGGGCACAGCAUCAUCAUCAUUUUUCUAAGACCUCGCACUGUUACCAAACAUUAUCGAUUCUUUUUUUUUUUUCUUUUAUUUUUGCGGUACUGCCACGUUCUGCGUUACGUUCAUAUUGUUACGGACUAACAUCUAAAUAUGGGCUGUGAUAAGCAGUUGUUUAUUUGUGUGGAUCUUGAGAGCUUUCCCUGUGUCUAGCUGGCUGGGGGCAAAGCUUGUGACUCAGCUGGUGUCACUAUUAAUAGCACGACUGUGUGUUGGCAUUCAUACUCGAGAGCGACUUCUUUAGUCUGUAAAUAUACUAGCAGCACACUUUUCAAAAAAAAAAAACUAGAAAUAAAUAUAUCGAUUUUUCGCCACUAGAAAUAAUCGAAACGUCUCUCUUUUUGUGUUAUCCACUCGAUAUUUUAAAUCCCCUACCCGUUGCGAGCGUAACACGUGGGUGGAAAGCAGAAAAAAAAAGAAGAAUAAAAUUUUGUAAACAUUUCUAUUCUCGUACAUGGCAAAAUUUUUAUUUCUAUUUU